AAUGGGCGAAAGCCUGAUGCAGCAACGCCGCGUGAGCGAUGAAAGCCUUCGGGUCGUAAAGCUCUGUCCUCAAGGAAGAUAAUGACGGUACUUGAGGAGGAAGCCCCGGCUAACUACGUGCCAGCAGCCGCGGUACUACGUAGGGGGCUAGCGUUAUCCGGAAUUACUGGGCGUAAAGGGUGCGUAGGUGGUUUUUUAAGUCNGANGUGAAAGGCUACGGCUCAAGCGUAGUAAGCUUUUGAAACUAGAGAACUUGAGUGCAGGAGAGGAGAGUAGAAUUCCUAGUGUAGCGGUGAAAUGCGUAGAUAUUAGGAGGAACACCAGUGGCGAAGGCGACUUUCUGGACUGUAACUGACGCUGAGGCUCGAAAGCGUGGGGAGCAAA
Molecule: ribosomal RNA, 384 nt
Filed under: uncultured bacterium
Lineage: Bacteria
Description: bacterial SSU rRNA
Rfam family: Bacterial small subunit ribosomal RNA
Source: RNAcentral